This 75-nucleotide transfer RNA is filed under the name Patescibacteria group bacterium. RNAcentral's name for it is "tRNA-Thr". It matches the Rfam family "tRNA". Rfam says of the family: Transfer RNA (tRNA) molecules are approximately 80 nucleotides in length. Their secondary structure includes four short double-helical elements and three loops (D, anti-codon, and T loops). The record is from RNAcentral.
GCCGCCUUAGCUCAGCGGUAGAGCAACGGUUUUGUAAACCGUAGGUCCAGGGUCCGAAUCCCUGAGGCGGCUCAA